UUUCCUCUAGUCCUUCUUCCUACCUCUUUUUCAUGGGAAUAGUUCUCGUCUUUAAGCAGUUUACAAGAAUGAGAUGCCAGGGGGGAAAUGGCUAAUCCUUUUCCAGCUGCAGUAAAUUUAAGACGGUACCAGAGCCCGGCAGUAACCGCAGCAGCUGAAAUGUUUCAGAGCCACGUCUGAGGCUGAGAAAGGAGCUACAGUUUAUAAGAGGACCUGUGGAUCGAUGAAAAGGCGAUUAUGACCUAUGAAGAGGAUCAUCCAGCCAUUUGAGAAAGAAAAUUGGCGAUACGCUUUCGGAAGAAGUCUCUCUGUGACCCCAAGUCUCCACUGCUUUUCUCCGGCCGGAGCCGAACCACUGCACGGACCUUAUCCUAAGGAAAAUAUAUUUUGA
RNAcentral lists this long non-coding RNA (391 nucleotides) under Phascolarctos cinereus (koala). RNAcentral's name for it is "lncRNA (ENSPCIG00000032052.1)". Lineage: Eukaryota; Metazoa; Chordata; Mammalia; Diprotodontia; Phascolarctidae. The record is from RNAcentral.